Gallus gallus (chicken) is the source of this 59-nucleotide microRNA precursor. The record is from Ensembl. Lineage: Eukaryota; Metazoa; Chordata; Aves; Galliformes; Phasianidae.
AUGGCUGUGAGUGCGGCUGAGGUGUCAGAGCAUCCUCCUCAGCCGUCUUGCAGCCUCCU